UACGAAGGGGGCUAGCGUUGUUCGGAAUUACUGGGCGUAAAGGGCUCGUAGGCGGCCAACUAAGUCAGACGUGAAAUCCCUCGGCUUAACCGGGGAACGGCAUCUGAUACUGGAUGGCUGGAGUUCGGGAGAGGGAUGCGGAAUUCCAGGUGUAGCGGUGAAAUGCGUAGAUAUCUGGAGGAACACCGGUGGCGAAGGCGGCAUCCUGGACCGACACUGACGCUGAGGAGCGAAAGCGUGGGGAGCGAACAGG
This 253-nucleotide ribosomal RNA is filed under the name uncultured bacterium. Its description in RNAcentral is "partial 16S ribosomal RNA". It matches the Rfam family "Bacterial small subunit ribosomal RNA", at positions 524 to 776 of the family's 1533-position model. The record is from RNAcentral.